CCGGCCCUGUCCCACUUCCUCACCCCUCACAAGACCCUACAUCAUCCCCCACCCAGGCCGUGUCUGCAUUCUCUCCUGCCCUCUGGCCCCAGGAAUACAAAAUAAUGAGGGAGAUCCUGCUGCUCCAGGAGGCGGCAGAUAACUACAAACUUGAGCCCAAGGAGUGAUUUGGGGCCUGGUUCCAGGCCAUGGAGCAGCUCAGCAAGGGAAAGAGUCACCAGGCCCCCGACACGGAGCCCAGUUCCAGUGGCCGAUGACACUCCUGAGCCCAGCUCCAGAGCGGCCUCUUCCCCAGCAACAGGGACACAGCUGAACACUCAGGGUGCACUGGGUCACCUCCUCUGGUUCUCAUCUGAAGGAGAGCUUUGUGAUCCUUUUUCUGGGGUCCCCUGUAGGCCACAAGGGAGGGAUCGACCCCCCCCCCAACUUCCUCAUCCCUCUUCCCCAGCCCCUACUUACCUAUUUGGAGGGGCAAUUUUUUUUUGUGAAUAGUAAAUGCUAAGUUUAAUAUUA
Long non-coding RNA from Diceros bicornis minor, 513 nucleotides. RefSeq lists it as uncharacterized. The record is from RefSeq and is a predicted model, not a curated record. Lineage: Eukaryota; Metazoa; Chordata; Mammalia; Perissodactyla; Rhinocerotidae. The transcript is spliced from 2 exons.